RNAcentral lists this ribosomal RNA (395 nucleotides) under uncultured bacterium. RNAcentral's name for it is "bacterial SSU rRNA". It matches the Rfam family "Bacterial small subunit ribosomal RNA", at positions 28 to 424 of the family's 1533-position model. The record is from RNAcentral.
GAUGAACGCUAGCGGCAGGCUUAACACAUGCAAGUCGAGGGGUAUAGUUCUUCGGAACUAGAGACCGGCGCACGGGUGCGUAACGCGUAUGCAAUCUACCUUUUGCAGAGGGAUAGCCCCAGAGAAAUUUGGAUUAAUACCUCAUAGUAUAGCAGUUUCGCAUGAAACCACUAUUAAAGUCACAACAGCAAAAGAUGAGCAUGCGUCCCAUUAGCUAGUUGGUAAGGUAACGGCUUACCAAGGCUACGAUGGGUAGGGGUCCUGAGAGGGAGAUCCCCCACACUGGUACUGAGACACGGACCAGACUCUACGGGAGGCAGCAGUGAGGAAUAUUGGACAAUGGGCGCAAGCCUGAUCAGCCAUGCCGCGUGCAGGAUUGACGGUCCUAUGGGAUU